UUCUCUAUAAAUAGCCAUUUGGUUUCUUUUACAAUCUUCAUAAAUCAAUACCUUGAUCCCAAAGAAGAAAGAGACUAAGAGAGAAUAAAUAAAAAAAGAAUAAAAAAAGAGAAGAGAAAUGUCAGGUGGAUGCUCAGAUACUGCAGGUGCAGGGAUGAAGAGCAAAUGGCCUGAAUUGGUGGGGAGAAGAGGAGAAGAAGCAAAAGAGAUCAUCGAUAGAGAGAACUCCAAAGUGACGGCUAGGAUUAUAUCUGAAAAUGCGGUUGUUUUGACCGUUGUGGUUUGCGAUAGGGUUUAUGUUCGUGUCAAUGACCACGGCAUUGUCACAAAAACCCCGGUCGUUGGGUAAUUUAAUGAUACAUGUGUGUAAGAAGAAUCAGUGUGGAACUUAAUAUGUAUGUAAUGUAUGUGUGAAAUAUAUACGAUAUACUUGUUGCGACUGUUGUAAUAAAGAAACUAGGCAUAUAUAUAAUAUAUGCCUCGAUUUGUAUGUUUCUUAUAAUGGUCAAAUAGUUAUAGUUGACUUAACUUA
Molecule: non-coding RNA, 532 nt
Organism: Camelina sativa (false flax)
Lineage: Eukaryota; Viridiplantae; Streptophyta; Magnoliopsida; Brassicales; Brassicaceae
Source: RefSeq, a predicted model, not a curated record